This 20-nucleotide non-coding RNA is filed under the name Rattus norvegicus (Norway rat). Lineage: Eukaryota; Metazoa; Chordata; Mammalia; Rodentia; Muridae. The record is from RNAcentral.
CAACGUUGUAAUGCCGUCGG